This 175-nucleotide ribosomal RNA is filed under the name [Clostridium] aminophilum. RNAcentral's name for it is "16S rRNA. Bacterial SSU". It matches the Rfam family "Bacterial small subunit ribosomal RNA", at positions 1 to 156 of the family's 1533-position model. The record is from RNAcentral. Lineage: Bacteria; Bacillati; Bacillota; Clostridia; Lachnospirales; Lachnospiraceae.
UUUAACGAGAGAGUUCGAUCCUGGCUCAGGAUGAACGCUGGCGGCGUGCCUAACACAUGCAAGUCGAACGGAAAUUACAGAAGGAAGUUUUCGGAUGGAAUUUUGUAAUUUUAGUGGCGGACGGGUGAGUAACACGUGGGUAACCUGCCCUGUACCGGGGGAUAACAGUUGGAAA